RNAcentral lists this ribosomal RNA (292 nucleotides) under uncultured bacterium. RNAcentral's name for it is "partial 16S ribosomal RNA". It matches the Rfam family "Bacterial small subunit ribosomal RNA", at positions 505 to 796 of the family's 1533-position model. The record is from RNAcentral.
GUGACAGCCGCCGCGGUAAUACAGAGGGUGCAAACGUUGCUCGGAAUUAUUGGGCGUAAAGCGCGUGUAGGCGGUUAACUAAGUCGGCCGUGAAAGCCCUUGGCUCAACCAAGGAAGUGCAGCCGAAACUGGUAAACUCGAGUCCUGAAGAGGGUGGCGGAAUGCCCAGUGUAGAGGUGAAAUUCGCAGAGAUUGGGUAGAACACCGGUGGCGAAGGCGGCCGCCUGGGAAGGUACUGACGCUGAGACGCGAGAGCGUGGGGAGCAAACAGGAUUAGAAACCCUAGUAGUCC